Molecule: unclassified non-coding RNA, 323 nt
Filed under: uncultured fungus
Lineage: Eukaryota; Fungi
Description: sequence contains ITS2
Source: RNAcentral
AACGCACCUUGCGCUCCUUGGUAUUCCUUGGAGCAUGCCUGUUUGAGUAUCAUGAAAUCUUCAAAAUCAAACUUUUUGUUAACUCAAUUAGUCUGAUUUUGGUAUUGGAGGUCUUUGCAGCUUCACACCUGCUCCUCUUUGUGUAUUAGCUGGAUCUCAGUGUUAUGCUUGGUUCCACUCAGCGUGAUAAAUUAUCUAUCGCUGAGGACACUGUAAAAAGUGGCCAAGGUAAAUGCAGAUGAACCGCUUCUAAUAGUCCAUUGACUUGGACACUAUUUUUAUGAUCUGAUCUCAAAUCAGGUAGGACUACCCGCUGAACUUAA